RNAcentral lists this ribosomal RNA (533 nucleotides) under uncultured bacterium. RNAcentral describes it as "bacterial SSU rRNA". It matches the Rfam family "Bacterial small subunit ribosomal RNA", at positions 776 to 1307 of the family's 1533-position model. The record is from RNAcentral.
AAAUAGAUACCCUGGUAGUCCACGCCGUAAACGAUGAGUGCUAAGUGUUAGGGGGUUUCCGCCCCUUAGUGCUGCAGCUAACGCAUUAAGCACUCCGCCUGGGGAGUACGGUCGCAAGACUGAAACUCAAAGGAAUUGACGGGGGCCCGCACAAGCGGUGGAGCAUGUGGUUUAAUUCGAAGCAACGCGAAGAACCUUACCAGGUCUUGACAUCCCGCUGACCGCUAUGGAGACAUAGCUUUCCCUUCGGGGACAGCGGUGACAGGUGGUGCAUGGUUGUCGUCAGCUCGUGUCGUGAGAUGUUGGGUUAAGUCCCGCAACGAGCGCAACCCUUGUCCUUAGUUGCCAUCAUUCAGUUGGGCACUCUAAGGAGACUGCCGUACAAAUACGGAGGAAGGUGGGGAUGACGUCAAAUCAUCAUGCCCCUUAUGACCUGGGCUACACACGUGCUACAAUGGACGGUACAAACGGUUGCGAAGUCGCGAGACGGAGCCAAUCCGAGAAAGCCGUUACUCAGUUCGGAUUGCAGGCUG